CGCCCCCUCGCCCAGAGCAUGCGCCGCCGCGGCCGAGGCCCUGGAGGGGGCGCGUUUCCGGGUUUCAGAAGUGGUGGGAGUUUUCGGCGGUGGCGAGGUCACGCACCAGAAUGAGAGACGUGGCGUCAGAGGUCCCCAGGGAGUAAAUCUGAAAGCCGGCGCCUCCUGAACGCAGACUACCAGGGGUUCACUGAUCUCCAGAUGAAGAGGAGCAGCAUCUGAAAUGCUCCAUUCACAUCCGGGCCUAGUAUAUAUUACUAGAUCAUAGACCUUAGAGCCAAUGCUAUACAGAAUGAUAAUUUUGGGGGAGGAAGUAAGUAUCUUUUGCAUGUCGUGUGUGGGGGUGUGUGUGUGUGAACUGUUGUGGUCAGAGGGUGGAUUGUGGUAGAGCGUUUCCAAA
Molecule: long non-coding RNA, 400 nt
Organism: Hippopotamus amphibius kiboko
Lineage: Eukaryota; Metazoa; Chordata; Mammalia; Artiodactyla; Hippopotamidae
Exons: 3
Source: RefSeq, a predicted model, not a curated record